Rattus norvegicus (Norway rat) is the source of this 13618-nucleotide non-coding RNA. The record is from RefSeq and is a predicted model, not a curated record. Lineage: Eukaryota; Metazoa; Chordata; Mammalia; Rodentia; Muridae.
GUGGUGUUGGUGUACAACUUUAAUCCCAGCACUGGGGAAGCAGAAGCAAGUAGAUUUCUGAAUUCAAGGCCAGCCUGGUCUACAGAGCAAGUUCCAGGACAGCCGGUGCUACACUGUCUUGAAUAAACCCAAAGAAGAAGGAUGAGGAGGAGAAAAAGAAGGGGAAGAAGAAGGAAAAGAAGAGGAAGAGGAAAGGGAGGAAGAAGAACAAGUAGUAGUAGUCGUAGUUGUAGACAAAGUAGUAUUUGGCAACCCCCAAAGCCAUGUUGUUGGGCUCUAAACAGUAAGACACAGAGAGAGGUAACUGCAGUGACCUAACAAUUGAUGGUGACAUCUCAGUCUUGAGGACAGUUCUGGUAUGCUGGUAGAGGGGACUCUGUUGUCAUGGCCACAGCUAGGUAAAAUGUGAUGGUUAGUGUUGACAGGGCCUAGAUUCACUAGGGAGAUGGGCCUCUGUGUGUGCCUGUCCCUGAUUGCAUUAAUUCAUGUGUGAAGACCCAUUUUGACUCUAGGUGUGACUACGACCUGGGCAUUGUGGACUGCAUAAAUGAAGAUAGAAUGGUAAGCAGCUGUUGCGGAUGAGACUGAGACAAUGUUGCAGCGUGAAUUGCUACUCCUUAGGAUGCUGUGUGAGAGGGCAGAUCUGAAGACUCCGGCCUUUCCUGUGAUUAUUACACCCAAUGUGCAGUACCCAGGAGGUAAGAGAUGGCUGGAGAGAUGGCUCAGCGGUUAAGAGCACCGACUGCACAUCCAGAGGUCCUGAGUUCAAAUCCCAGCAACCACAUGGUGGCUCACAACCAUCUGUAAUGAGAUCCGAUGCCCUCUUCUGAUGUGUCUGAGGACAGCUACAGUGUUCUCAUACAUACUAAACAAAUAAAUCUUUAAAAAAAUAUGAAAGUAUUACUUCUAAGAAAAUAAAUAUUCUGGGGGUUGGGGAUUUAGCUCAGCGGUAGAGCGCUUGCCUAGCAAGCGCAAGGCCCUGGGUUCAGUCCCCAGCUCAGAAAAAAAAAAGAAAAGAAAAAAAAAAGAAAAAUAUUCUGGGUGUGGUGACACACAACUUUAAUUCAACAUUUGGGAGGCAGACUUAGAGGCCAGCCUGGUCUAUAGAAUGAAUUCCAGGGUAGCCAGGGCUACUCAGAGAAAUCCAGUCUAGAAAAAAACAGCAACAACAAAAGAGAAUAUCUUCUGCCACAUAUCACAAGGAAGUUCCGUACUCGCCUUAGCUUUGUUAUGUUUUAUAUCACAUUUGUUUGUUGGUUGGGUUGGCUGAGUUUUUUUUGUUUGUUUGUUUGUUUGUUUUUGUUUUGUUUUUUGGCAGGGUCUCAUGAUGUAGCCUUAGCUGGCCCUGAGCUCAUAGAGAUCAAGCUGUUUCUCUGCUUUCCCAGUGGUAGGACUAAAAGCAUAUGCCACCAUGCCUGGCUUGCUUACCUGUGGCUCUUUUGUGACAGGGUUUCUUUAUGUAGUCCUGGCUGUCCUGAAACUGGCUGUAUACACAGGCUGGCCCCAAACUCACAGAGAUUGUCUUAUCUGUGCCUUCCAAGUGUUGGGAUUAUGCCCAACUAUAGCUUUCUUUUUAAUAUUUUUAAGUCUAUGUGUUUGUUGCACAGUGGUUGACGGUGUGGCAGAAAGGUUAGCUACCAAUUCAAGAGAAAAGCUCCUGGAGUUACUACAGAGCCGUUCCAGGUACAAGCAUGUGGGUGUGAGCCUGGACAUAGCCCUCUGAAGUUGGUGUUGCCGUCAAAGCUUGGCCUUCUGGUGUCUCCCAGGCUUGGGCUUCAAUUGUGAGCAGGGUAAAAAGCUGCCCUGAAAAGGCAGCAGCCCAGCGAUGAUGCUUCUGAUGGCCUCACCGUCUGCUCUCUGGCCCUGUGGCAUCCACAAACAUUUGAAGAUGUCUUACAAGCUCCCAGGGGAUGCCUGCCUGGUUCAGGCAUCACAACAGGGUGCCAUUACUUCAGUGAUCCAAUUGAGAGAGCACCACCUUCCAACUUCUUCUUGAAACCUGAGGGUCUGCUUAGAUACACAGCAGGGAUCAACUGACAGCACCUAAACUUCUGGAGAUGACACUGAGCCGUAAAGACCUGGGCACGGCAUCUCCUGUCACUGACUAGUGCCGCUUCCAAAAGGCACCACAUUGCUACAGGGGCAAGGCUGCCUGUGGUCAGUCAUCUUUGAGUAUGGGGUCAUACUAUGGAGCCCAGGGCUAGCCUGGAACUCAGUCUGGGAACAGGCUGGCAUCAAACUCACAGAGAUCUACCUGCCUCUGACUCCCCAGUACUGAGGUUAGAAUGUGUGAUCAUGUCUGGAAGGCUUGGUUGGUUUUUUUUGAGACAGGGUUUCUUUGUGUAGCCCUCACUGUCCUGGAACUAGCUUGGUAAACCAUGAUGGGCAAACCCUCAGAGAUCUGCCUGGUUCUGCCUCCCGAGUGCUGGAAUAGGCAGUGUGUACUUCACCACUGCCGGACUCCAUUUUCUUUUUUUUUUUUUUAAGAUUUAUUUAUUUAUUAUAUAUAACUACACUGUAGCUGUCUUCAGACACACCAGAAGAGGGCAUCAGAUCUCUUUACAGAUGGUUGUGAGCCACCAUGUGGUUGCUGGGAAUUGAACUCAUGACCUCUGGAAGAGCAGUCGGGUGCUCUUAACCGCUGAGCCAUCUCUCCAGCCCCUGACUCCAUUUUCUUUUUAAGAUUUAUUAUAUUUGGGGCUAGAAAAAUGACCCAGGGGUUGUCUUAGUUCCUGUUCUGCUGCUGCUGUGAAGAGACACCAUGACCCCACAACUCUUAUAAAGAAAGCAUUUAAUUGGGACUGACUUACCAUUUUAAAGAUUUAGUCCCUCCUCAUGGCUGGAAGCAUGGUGGCCUGUAGGCAGACACAGUGCUAGAGGAAUAGCCUGAGAGUUCUCCGCCUGGAUCCACAGACAGCAGGAAGAGACCUGGACCUACCGUAAGUAAGAAACUCCAAAGCUCACCCUCAAUGACAUAUUACUUACUCCAGUAAGGCCGUACCUCCUCCAACAAGGUCACAGCAAGGUCAUACCUAACAUUGUCAAGUAGUGUCACUCCCUAAUGACCAAGCAUUCGAAUACAUGAGCCAGUGGAGGCCAUUCCUGUUCGAAGGACCAGUUGAGGUUAACAACAAUCGCUGCUUUUUCAGAAGACCUGACUUCAGUGCCCAGCAUCACAUGGUAACUCACAACUGUCUGUAACUCAUGUUCUAGGGGUUCUUUUUUUUUUUUUUUUCGGAGCUGGGGACCGAACCCAGGGCCUUGCGCUUCCUAGGUAAGCGCUCUACCACUGAGCUAAAUCCCCAGCCCCCGUUCUAGGGGUUCUGUUGCUUUCUUCUGGCCACUGUUCACCCUAGUCAUUCAAGGAUACAUUUUAUGUAUAUGCAAUAUAUAUAUAUAUAUAUAUGGUGAAGUAUUAAUAUACAUAAAAAAUCUCUUAACAAAAUAUUUUAUUUUGCUUAUGUGUGUAUAGGUAUGUGUGUGUGCCAGCUCCCAGAGGUCAGAAAGCAUAUAAGUGAGUCACAGGUGCAUGGAAGCUGCCUGCCACAUGUGAGUUCUGGAGUCUGGUCCACUGGUAGAUCAGUAAUUCCCUUAACUACCGUGCCAUCUUUCUAGUCAUCUCCAUGUUAAAAAUCAUUUAUGUAUGUAUGUAUGUAUGUAUGUAUGUGUCUGCCUGUCUGUCUGUAUAUGUAUGUGUGUAUGUAUGUGUGUAUGUGUAUGUCUGUCUGUCUGUAUAUGCAUGUGUGUAUGUAUGUGUGUAUGUAUGUAUGCAUGUAUGUAUGCAUGUGUGUAUGUAUGUUGUAUGUAUGCAUGUGUGUAUGUAUGUGUGUGUAUGUAUGUAUGCAUGUGUGUGUGCAUGUGUGUGUAUGUGUGUAUGUCUGUCUGUCUGUAUAUGUAUGUGUGUAUGCAUGUGUGUAUGUGUAUGUGUCUGUCUGUCUGUCUGUGUGUAUGUAUGUAUAUAUGUAUGUAUGCAUGUGUGUAUGUAUGUGUGUAUGUAUGUAUGUAUGUAUGCAUGUGUGUAUGUAUGUGUGAAUGUCUGUCUGUCUGUAUAUGUAUGUGUGUAUGCAUGUAUGUAUGUGUAUGUGUGUGUGUGUCUGUCUGUGUAUAUGUAUGUAUAUAUGUAUGUAUGAGCAGUCCUGAGCCUGUUCCCCCUCCCAUCCUGGGUCCUAAGGCUUGAUUCCAGGUCCUAGCGUCAGGCACCUUCAUCCACUGAGCUAUCUCAUUGGUCCUCUUUUGAAAAGGGUUUUCUACAUUUCUCUUCCUCCAACAAGGCCGCACCUCCUAAUCAAUGACCAAGUAGUAACGACCAAGCAGUCAAAUAUGGAGGCCACUCCUAUUCAAACCAUCAUAGAGACUGAACAUAGAGGUUGCAAAGGUUUUUUUGUUUUCUGUUUUUGUUUUUUAACAGCCUGUGAUGCACACUCGGGAGGCAGAGGCAGGCAGAUCUGUGAGUUUGAAGCCAGCAUGGCCUACAGAGCAAGUUCCAGGACAGCCAGGACUAGGCGGAAAAAUCCUGUCUCGGCAAACAAGCAAAACAAAACAAAACAAAACAAAACAAAACAAAAACAAGACAAACUGAAAACCCCUUUCUCACAUUUAUUCAUUGGGGGAAGGGCAGCCAUGCCCCAGUGGGAAUGUCAGAGGACUCUGAAGAGUCAGUUCUCUCCCUUUAUCGUGUGCAUCCCGGUUACUGACCAGUUAAACCGAAUCCUCAGACUUGGUGUGCACAGUCUCGCUUGCUGUUCUUUAUGGUAAAGCUGUGCUACUCCUCCUCUCCUUCUCCUCUUCUUCCUUUUUUCUUCCUUCUUGUUUAGUUUUUGUUUUUUGGGACAGAGACAGAGUUUAUCUGUGUACUCCUGUCUGUCCUAGAACUCUGUAGACCAGGCUGGUCUCAAAUUCAUGAAAUCUCCCUGCCUCUACCUCCUGAGUGCUGAGAUUGAAGGCAUGGCCACCACUGCCUGCUAUGCAGGAGCUUUUCAACUGAUUUCCCCCCCUAGAGACAGAGUCUCACUCCACAGUACAAGCUGCCCUAGAACUCACUAUAAAGUACAGACUCCUUUCAAAUUUACCACAGUCCUGCUGGGGCUGCCUCGCACUGACUGGAAUCACAGGCAUGCAGCACCACGCCCAGCUAGUCUUGUCCCUUUCGGUUUUUGUCUCCACAUUAUACCUGGUUUCUUCCUCUGCUUCUUCUAAACAGGCUCAUGUCUACUUCCGGCUCACAGAACUUCUUUCAGUUCCUCAAAUGGACUUUGGUCAGUUCCCUCCAAAAAUGUUGUUUCCUCUACUGGAGCUUCGGAGCUUCUCUCCCUUUAAAACCACUUCCACUGAUUGAUUCUCUCCUCUCUCUCUCUCUCUCUCUCUCUCUCUCUCUCUCUCUCUCUGGUCUCUCUCUCUCUCUCCUUCUCCCUCUUUCUCUCCCUCUCCCCCUCCCCUCUUCCUCCCUCUUUGUUCCUCUCCCUCUCUGUCUUUCCCUCCCCCUCCUCCUCUCCCUGUCCCUCUCUCCUCUCUCCCUCCCCUCUGCUCCCAAGACCACUCCAAGUAAAUCUUAGGCCUCCUGCCCACCUAUAAGACCACUGGCCAUCCCUGCUACCUGUGUCUUUGUGUGUCUAGUCAUAGAGCUUAUUACACGUAGCCACUUUGCUGGGUUCAGUGUGUGGUGCCGUACAUACAUGAUUUCGGUUUAGUUCAGCACUGCACCUUCAGACCUUAGCCCUGGCCUGGCCUAUAACAAGAAUUCAACCAGGUGGUGGUGGUGGCGCAUGCCUUCAAACCCAGCAACUGAGAGGCACAAGCAGGCUGAUCUAGGCCAGCCUGGUCUACAGAGCAAGUUCCAGGACAGUCAGAAGGACACCGAGGGACCCUGUCUUCAACCCCCGCCUCCAAAAUAAAAAAAUAAAAAUAAAGAAUUCAAUAAUUCGGGGUUGAGGAUUUAGCUCAGUGGUAGAGCGACCGCUUGCCUAGCAAGCGCAAGGCCCUGGGUUCGGUCCCCAGCUCCAAAAAAAAGAAAAGAAAAAAAAAGAAUUCAAUAAUUCAUUUUAUUUUCUGUGUAUGAAUAUUUUGCCUAUGUGGUGGCUGUGCAGCCUAUGUGUAUCUGGUGCCUAAGGAAGUUAAGACGAGGGUGUUGGGGCUCACUGGCACUGGUGGUAGUAGGCACGGCUGUGAGCAAUGUGGGUGCUGGUAUCUGAGCCUGGGUCCUCUGCAAAAGCACCCAGUGUACCUAACUGCUGAGCCAUCUCUCCAGCCCCAGGAUUCUUCUUCUGCCGGUGUGUUUUCUCUUUUUGUGGUGCUGGGGAUUGAACCUAAGAUCUUGUACAUACUGGCCAACACCGCCCAGUUGUAUUACCAGUACAGUUCUUUCCCAUAUCAUAUAUCUUGGGAGUCUUUUCUUUCUUUCUUUUUUUUUUUUUUUGGUUCUUUUUUUCGGAGUUGGGAAUCGAACCCAGGGCCUUGCGCUUCCUAGGCAAGCGCUCUACCACUGAGCUAAAUCCCCAACCCCAAGUCUUUUCUUAUGUAGUUCAUUUGUAUGUCACAAUAAAGCUACUAGUGGGGACAGGUGGACCUUUGUGUUACCUAGCCGACCAGUCUGACCAAUCAGUGUGUUCCAGGCCAGGAAGACUCCCUGUCUGCUACAAGAAGGCAGAGGAAGACACCUGACGUAGUCCUCUGGCUUUCAGCGUGAGCAAGCAUAAGCAAGCAUUCUUGCACGCAUUCGUGCACAUAAACACGUUCACUGUGACCGCCCUGCAAGCCAAGCAACUGCCAUUUUGGAGAAGUCAGCUUCACCCACUGGGAAAAGAUCCAGCUGGGCCUGGUAGUGGUUUACACCCCCGGGGAGGGAGAGGAGGUUGUGAGACCCUCACCGGAGUGUCCAGCUCCUUCUUACCACGUGGUGCCUUAACUGAACUGGGCAUCAGGGUAGGGCUAGAGUAUGUGGUCCAGGGAAGACUAAAGAAAAUUUCAUCUACUAGGUUAAGAAAAAACCCUCGUCCUUGCUAGGUAAUGACUUUUCAGGUACAGCCUGUUGGGAGAAAGGCAAUGAUGCUCCUGGAAGUAAUCUCUCUGUCAGGGAGCCCAAUAAACUCACUGGCUUUCCAGAAUGAACUUUGGUUGAAUUGUGCCUUGGUUUUUCAUUUGGGCCAAAGGAGAAGGGGUAGUUGUUAGUUGUUUCUUCAUUGCUAUGUCUCCCCAUGAGAAGGAAUGUCAGUAACGCACGCACGCGCGCGCGCGCGCGCACACACACACACACACACACACACACACACACAAAAGCAAUAAUAAACUAAUCUAUUGGUUUUGUUUCUGUAAGUUUUUGUUUUGGGUUUUGUUUUUCAAGCCCUGGCUGUCCUAGAACUCACUCUGGAGACCAGAAUAGCCUUGAACUCGGAGAUCUGCCUCUGCCUGAUACCACCACUGCCAGGCAGAUUUUUUUUUUUAAAUGUGUUUGGAUGUUUUACUUGUAUGUCCAUUUGCACACCAUGCGCAUGUGGGAUGUUCAUGGAGACCAAAAGAAGGCAUCAAAUCCCCCCAAACUACGGCUGUGAACAAUUAUGAGCCACCAUAUAGGUGCUGGGAAUGGAACCUGAGUCCUCUGGAAGAGCAGCUAGUACUUUUAAAUGCAAGUCUGAUGAACUGAUUUCAAGCCCCGUAGACCCCUGUGGGGAGAGAGGACCAACUCUUGUUCGUUCCGUCUGUGUAGUCUUGGCUGUUCUGCAGCACCAUGCCUGGUGUGGGGAGCCAACUCUUAAACGUUGUCUUCCGACCCCCACACACAUGUUGUAGUAUGUGCUGUCCCACACUCAGACAUAUCAAUAACUUUUUUUUUUUUCAGAGCUGAGGACCGAACCCAGGGCCUUGCACUUGCUAGGCAAGCGCUCUACCACUGAGCUAAAUCCCCAACCCCAAUAACAUUUUUUUUAAACAAAUAAUUUGUUGUUGUUGCUGUUUUGUUGUAUUUGUCUGUUUUUAUUUCUUUUUCUGUGUAGCCCUGACAAUCCUGGAGCUCUUAUAGACCCAGUUGGUCUUGAACUUAGAAAUCCACCAACCUUUCCUGUCUAAGUGCUGGUAUUCAACAAGUGGGCUAUCACUUCCCAGUUACAAAUGAUUUUUAAAGGGAUGAGUAAAAACCUUCUCCUUGGUACUCCAAAGAACACUAAACUUAGCCAUGUGUGAUGCAUGGCUUUAGUCACAGCACUAAGGAGACAGUCAUGUGUAUCUCCACAGGUUCAAAACCAACCUAGUCUACAUAACAAGUUCCAGGCCAGUCAGGGCUACAUGGUAAGAACUUCAUAAAACACACAAACAAACAAACAAAAAGAAUAUUAAUCUGCAUUUAACCAGUACUUGGUCAUUGAACACUUAAAUUGUUAUUCAGUCCUUGCUGGCCUGGCUGGUCUGGAACUUACUAUAUGUGUCAUUUUGGCCUUGAAUUCAGAGAUCCCCCUUCCUCUGCCUCCCAGAUUCUUGGUUUAAAAGCAUGUGCGACCACACCAAGGACACGGUCCCUUGGAUCAUUCCUAAACCUGUCCUCUUAUGCUGCAACAGUUUGGAUAAGAAACACAUUCAUUAAGCACUUGUUUUUCUAAUGCCAGGUUUCGAGAACUCAUAAUUAGAUAUUACAUAUUGGGAGAUAAUGAAAGGUGGGUGGCUAGAGGAAGUCAAUUCCUUAGAGAAUGCUUUUGAAGCUUCCAAUUUAUUAAAAUUCUCCCUUUUCUCUCCGAUUCCUGGCUGGGCAGCGGCGCUCAGGAUGCAGAGGUAGGCAGAGCUCUUGGAGUUUGAUUGACAAACCGGUCUACAGAGUGAGUUCCAGGCUAGCCAGGGCCACACAGAGAAACCCUGUCUCAAACAAAAACAACAAACAAGAAACCCCCCCUUCAAAAAAAAAGAAACAAGGGGCUGGAGAGAUGGCUCAGUGGUUAAGAGCACCGACUGCUCUUCCUGAGGUCCUGAGUUCAAAUCCCAGCAACCACAUGGUGGCUCACAACCAUCUGUAAUGAGAUCUGAUGCCCUCUUCUGGUGUGUCUGAAGGCAGCUACAGUGUACUCAUACAAUAAAAUAAAAAUCUUAAAAAAUAAAUUAAAAAAAAAAAAGAAACAGAACAAAACAAAUGCUGGGACUGAGGCUGGGACCAGCCACAGAGCACUUGCCCGGAACUUCAAGAUCCCAGGUUGUUUGGGAAGCGCUAACACCUACAAUCCCAGGAGAGAGAGAUUCAGGAAGGAGGUUUGGAAGUUCAAGGUCAUCCUUGGUAUAUAUCAAGUUAGAGGCUAAAAUUAAGAAAUUUGACAACACCAGGCUGGGCACAGGAUAUCACCUGCUUUUAUUUCCAGCCCUGGGAGAAAGAGGCAGAUCAUCUCUGUGAGUUUGUGGCCAGUCUGGCCUAUAUGGUGAGUUCUAGGACAGCCAGGGCUACAUAUUGCAGUCAGGGAUCAAGGGAUCUUCUGUUAAACAAACAAACAAACAAACACACACAUAAAAUAAAAACCCUAGACAAACUAGUAACAACAAUGAAAACUAAAAACUCUGGAGUGGUUAAAAUUAAGGAAUUUGGCAAUACCAGGCUGAAUGCGAUGUCAUGCAUCUUUGAUCCCAGCACUCCCAAGAAAGAGGCAAAUCGAUCUGAGUUUGAGGACAGCCUAUAUAGUCUAUAAGUGAGGUCCAGGAUAGCCCAUAAUGGAGACCCUAUCUCAAGAGAAAAAAAAAAAGGAAAGAAAGGAAGAAAGGAAGAAAAAACUUGACAUUAGCAACUCAUGGGCCAUUUUCUGUGGCUUAAAUUCAUAAAUACUCAGAAGUUUGAUAUUAUCUAGAGAAACAAAAGAUAGUGGUUAUCCUGUAGCUGACCAAUUCCGCCCCUAACAUGCAUGAUCCUUAAGUCACGCAAAUGUGUAUUCAAAGUUAUACGAUCUCGGGGCUGGGGAUUUAGCUCAGUGGUAGAGCGCUUACCUAGGAAGCGCAAGGCCCUGGGUUCGGUCCCCAGCUCCGAAAAAAAAAAAAAGAACCAAAGUUAUACGAUCUCUAACUCAACAGAAAAGGGAAGACAUUUUGUUAACUUUUUUUUUUUUUUUUUUUUUGAUACUGGGGAUGGAACCUUGGGCCAGGGUAUCAUGCAUGCCAAGUCUUUGCUGUCCAGCUGCUUGGCUUCCCCUAGAGUUAUAAGGAAGGUGUCAGCUGGCUCUGUUUGUGUGUGCAUGGGUGGGAACAACUGAGCCUGUACUGCACUGGGGUGUAUGAGUAACAGUGCUUGCGUAGCUUAGCCUAGAGUGGAAAGAUUGGAGGAUAGCCUCAGCUAUCUGUCUUCCUUUCUACUUGCUUGAGGCAGAAUCUCUUCGUUGUUUCCAGCUAUGUAGCCCUUGCUCCCAGUUUUUUGUUUGUUGUUGUCUUAGAGAUUUAUUUAUUUAACGUAUAGGUGUUCCAUCUGGAUGUUUGUCUGCACGCCGGAAGAAGGAACCGCAUCCCAUGGGAUAUAUAAGUUCAUCUACAACUACAGUUGGAGAUGAUUGUCAGCUGGUGUGUGGUUGCUGGGAAUUGAACUCAGGACCUCUAGAAGAGCAACCAGUGCUCUUAACCGCUGAGCCAUCUCUUCAGUCCAUUUGUUGUUGUUGCUGUUGUUUUUUAAGAUUUGUUUUAUUUCUAUUUAUGUAUGGCUGUCUAUCUUGUCUGUCUGUGUGAGUAUAAUGUGGGGGGGGGCUUGGGGGGUGGUCCAUGCAGAGGCUAGAAGAGGGCUGUAAUUUUGUCCAAGGCCUAAUAUGGCUCCUGGGAAAGUCAAGUCUUAAUCACUGAGCCAACUCUCCAGCUACCUGUAUGGUGUUUUUUUGAGACAGGCCCUUGUGAAUUAAUUCCAAGGUGGACUGUAUUUAGUAGGGAGGUCAUGGUGCCACUAUGACACAGUUACUGUCCUGUUCGGUAAGUACAAACUGAGCUCAAUUCAGAGCCCUAAGACAGGAUAGGAUCCUGUUUUGUAUCCCAGGCUAACCCAGGUCUACCUGGUCUGGGCUAGCCUCAAACUUACAUUAAACCUCCAAGCUCAGCCUCAUCUAUAAUUUCAAAGUGUUGGAGUUACAGAUGUGUACCCUAUGCCUGACCCAUCCGAUUGUCUAAAGCUGAACUGGAACAAAACACGGUUGAACCGAGGAUCAAUAGUGGGUGGCACACUCAUGCCUUUAAAGCCAGCACUCUGGAGGCAGAGGCAGGCACAGUCCACCCAUGCUCUACACAGUGGGUUUCAUCUACCAAAGAUGCAUCAUGAGACCCUGUCUUAAAAGUAAAUUGGGGGGUUGGGGAUUUAGCUCAGUGGUAGAGCGCUUGCCUAGGAAGCGCAAGGCCCUGGGUUCAAUCCCCAGCUCCGAAAAAAAGAACCAAAAAAAAAAAAAAAAAAAAAAGAAUCAGUGUGUUCUUCCAGAGAGCUGGUGUUCCUUUCCUAGCAACCAUAUUUGGCGACUCAUAAAGGCUAUAACUCCAGCUCCAGGAGAUCUGAUACUUCUGGCCUUUGUCUUUUUUUUUUUUUUCUGGAGCUGAAGACCGAACCCAGGGCCUUGCCCUUGCUAGGAAAGCGCUCUACCACUGAGCUAAAUCCCCAGCCCCUACUUCUGGCCUUUGUGUGUACCUGUAUUCAUAAGCACACACAAAAAUAGGAACACACACUCACCUAAAAAGAAAUCUUCCUGAAGCCUGGUCAUAGUAGUGUACACCAUACCUUUAAUCCUAGCCCUCAGGAGGCAGAGGCAGGUGGAUCUUUUGAGUUCCAGGCCAGCCUGGUUUACAGAGUGAUCUCCAGGACAGCCAGGGUCAUAUAGAGAAACCCUAAGCCGAAAACCAAACCAAACCAAACCAAACCAACCAAACAAAAAAGGAUGGGAAUGUUGAUCCAUACUUGAUUUGAAAUCGCUUUCUGUUUUAAAUAUGUUACAUUCAGUCAUUUAUGUUUGUGUGUCUGUCUAUGUGUGCGCCUAGUGGGUGUGCAUUUGUGUAAGUCAGCAGACGACUUGUAGGAGUCAGUUCUCUCCUCCCAUCUGGGUCAUAGGAACUAAGAUGAUAAGGCUUGAGCCAUCUCAACACUCUCUCUCUCUCUCUCUCUCUCUCUCUCUCUCUCUCUCUCUCUCUCUCUGUCUAUCUCUGUCUCUGUCUCUGUCUCUCUCCAGACUUUUGCUCAGUGGCCCAGGCUGGUCUAGAACUGUGUACCCCAGGCUUGACUGGAACUAAUAUUCCUGCCUUGGCCUCCUGAUAUAUGCUGAGAUGAGUCAAGAAAGUAGUUUAAAGGAUAAACCUGGGCUGGAGAGAUGGCUCAGUGGUUAAGGGUUAAGAACACUGACUGUUCUUCCAGAGGUUCUGAGUUCAAUUCCCAGCAGCCACAUGGUGGCUCACACCCAUCUGUAAUGUGAUCCCAUGCACUCUUCUGGUGUAGCUGGAGACAGCUACAGUGUACUCAUAUAAAUAAAAAUAAAUACAUCUUUAAAAAAAACUAAAAAGGAUAAACCUUCAGUGAAGUGAGCCUUGUGAUUAGGAGAAUAAGUAGAGAGGUUCCUUUUGUGUCACCUAGACUUGUACCUGAUGUCACAUGGCCUGGGGUGUUUGUCACAUUGAAAGAGUGGAUCCAGGCAGCCUUGUUGUCCUGCUUGCCUCUAGUGACUCUUAGGCCAUACAUUUAGCCCCCUAAUCACAGCACCAAUGCCCUUGGUUCAGACUAAACACCUUUGCCUACAUGGAUACAAAGAGAUAUCGGAUUAUAUCACAUGAGUUUUUCCCAGUUUUAAAUCAAAUUUAAUUUAAAAACUAUUUAUUUAGUUUUGUCUUAUUUUUCAGGACAGGGUUUCUCUGUGUAGCCUUGGUUGUUCUGGAACUCCCUGUGUAGACCAGGCCAGCCUUGAACUCACAGGGGUCCACUUUACCUCUGCCUCUCAAGUGCUGGGAUUAAAGGUCUGUGCCUCCACCAACACCUGGCAAAACUGUAUUUAUUUUAAAUUACAUGUAUGUGUGUCUGUGUGAGUAUGUGCACAUAACUGCAGGUCCCUGGGGAGUUCAGAGGCAUAAAAUCCCCCUGGAGUUGGUGUUAUAUGUCGUCCAAUACCAGAAUUUCCAGGCCAGUGGCCUCAGUAUAUUGUCUUAUCGUUUGCUUCGGUUGUAGCUGGUAUAUUGUGCUCAGACUUCUGUCCCGUGGUUGAAUUAUAUUGGAUAUCCAGGAAUUAUGUCGCCAUGUCCAACUCGGAGCUCCUCUGAACUGAGGGAGCACAUUGUUUCCACAAUGGACCCAAUAAAGCCAGUAUUCUAUCAACCAUCCUAUGGUAUCACUCCUCAUUUGUGACUGUGUCUCUCUCUAAAUAACCAGCAGAGGAAGACAGAAAACAUAUGAUCUUUAUUAACUUUGAAUCUGGAGCCCAAAUUAAAGUUCACAAAGGUCCACUGAACUACGCUAGGUGUUUGUUUUGUUUUGUUUUUUUUUUUUUUUAAAGAUUUAUUUAUUUAUUACAUAUCAGUACACUGUAGCUGUCUUCAGAUACACCAGAAGAGGGCAUCAAUCUGUUUACAGAUGGUUGUGAGCCACCAUGUGGUUGCUGGGAAUUGAACUCAGGACCUCUGGAAGAGCAGUCGGGUGCUCUUAACCGCUGAGCCAUCUCUCCAGCCC